Eurytemora carolleeae is the source of this 262-nucleotide long non-coding RNA. RefSeq lists it as uncharacterized. The transcript has 3 exons. The record is from RefSeq and is a predicted model, not a curated record. NCBI's taxonomy places the organism in Eukaryota, Metazoa, Arthropoda, Copepoda, Calanoida, Temoridae.
AGAACUUUUAUAAUUAUCUGCAGGCGUGGUUCAUAACAUCUAAAAUGGCGUUAAGGCGGGAUGACAAUGAUAUGAAGGUUGACCCUGAAAACGGGAUUUAUGUUGAAAUGGAGGGUAUCAUGGAGUGGAGGCGAGUUUACGACGAUUCGGAUGAAUAUGAAAGCCAGGACAUGUUUAUAUUUCAGGAGGAGAACAAAUAUAUUGACGAGAAAUUCUGUGUAAAGAAUAGAGAAGAGGGAUAUCAGGUAGUUCUACAAUCUAC